AGUGAACGCUGGCGGUAGGCCUAACACAUGCAAGUCGAACGGCAGCACAGUAAGAGCUUGCUCUUACGGGUGGCGAGUGGCGGACGGGUGAGGAAUACAUCGGAAUCUACUUUUUCGUGGGGGAUAACGUAGGGAAACUUACGCUAAUACCGCAUACGACCUACGGGUGAAAGCAGGGGAUCUUCGGACCUUGCGCGAUUGAAUGAGCCGAUGUCGGAUUAGCUAGUUGGCGGGGUAAAGGCCCACCAAGGCGACGAUCCGUAGCUGGUCUGAGAGGAUGAUCAGCCACACUGGAACUGAGACACGGUCCAGACUCCUACGGGAGGCAGCAGUGGGGAAUAUUGGACAAUGGGCGCAAGCCUGAUCCAGCCAUACCGCGUGGGUGAAGAAGGCCUUCGGGUUGUAAAGCCCUUUUGUUGGGAAAGAAAAGCAGCAGGUUAAUACCCCGCUGCUCUGACGGUACCCAAAGAAUAAACACCGGCUAACUUCGUG
This 492-nucleotide ribosomal RNA is filed under the name uncultured bacterium. RNAcentral describes it as "partial 16S ribosomal RNA". It matches the Rfam family "Bacterial small subunit ribosomal RNA", at positions 29 to 507 of the family's 1533-position model. The record is from RNAcentral.